This 439-nucleotide ribosomal RNA is filed under the name uncultured bacterium. RNAcentral describes it as "partial 16S ribosomal RNA". It matches the Rfam family "Bacterial small subunit ribosomal RNA", at positions 339 to 795 of the family's 1533-position model. The record is from RNAcentral.
CUACGGGCGGCACCAGUGGGGAAUAUUGCACAGUGGAGGAAACUCUGAUGCAGCAACGCCGCGUGGAGGAUGACACUUUUCGGAGCGUAAACUCCUUUUAUAUAGGAAGAAGAUGACGGUACUAUAUGAAUAAGCGCCGGCUAACUCCGUGCCAGCAGCCGCGGUAAUACGGAGGGCGCAAGCGUUACUCGGAAUCACUGGGCGUAAAGAGCGUGUAGGCGGAUUAAAAAGUCAGAAGUGAAAUCCUAUAGCUUAACUAUAGAACUGCUUCUGAAACUCUUAAUCUAGAAUAUGGGAGAGGUAGAUGGAAUUUCUGGUGUAGGGGUAAAAUCCGUAGAGAUCAGAAGGAAUACCGAUUGCGAAGGCGAUCUACUAGAACAUUAUUGACGCUGAGGUGCGAAAGCGUGGGGAGCAAACAGGAUUAGAUACCCUCGUAGUC